UACGUAGGGGGCGAGCGUUACCCGGAUUCACUGGGCGUAAAGGGGGCGUAGGUGGCCGUGUAAGUCCGGUGUGAAAACUCACGGCUCAACCGUGGGACUGCGCUGGAAACUACACGGCUUGAGGACGGUAGAGGGAGACGGAACUGCUGGUGUAGGGGUGAAAUCCGUAGAUAUCAGCAGGAACGCCGGUGGAGAAGUCGGUCUCCUGGGCCGUUCCUGACGCUGAGGCCCGAAAGCGUGGGGAGCAAACAGG
Molecule: ribosomal RNA, 253 nt
Filed under: uncultured microorganism
Description: partial 16S ribosomal RNA
Rfam family: Bacterial small subunit ribosomal RNA
Source: RNAcentral